RNAcentral lists this ribosomal RNA (722 nucleotides) under Escherichia coli. RNAcentral's name for it is "partial 23S ribosomal RNA". It matches the Rfam family "Bacterial large subunit ribosomal RNA", at positions 1163 to 1869 of the family's 2925-position model. Lineage: Bacteria; Pseudomonadati; Pseudomonadota; Gammaproteobacteria; Enterobacterales; Enterobacteriaceae. The record is from RNAcentral.
GCGGAAGAUGUAACGGGGCUAAACCAUGCACCGAAGCUGCGGCAGCGACGCUGAUGCGUUGUUGGGUAGGGGAGCGUUCUGUAAGCCUGCGAAGGUGUGCUGUGAGGCAUGCUGGAGGUAUCAGAAGUGCGAAUGCUGACAUAAGUAACGAUAAAGCGGGUGAAAAGCCCGCUCGCCGGAAGACCAAGGGUUCCUGUCCAACGUUAAUCGGGGCAGGGUGAGUCGACCCCUAAGGCGAGGCCGAAAGGCGUAGUCAAUGGGAAACAGGUUAAUAUUCCUGUACUUGGUGUUACUGCGAAGGGGGGACGGAGAAGGCUAUGUUGGCCGGGCGACGGUUGUCCCGGUUUAAGCGUGUAGGCUGGUUUUCCAGGCAAAUCCGGAAAAUCAAGGCUGAGGCGUGAUGACGAGGCACUACGGUGCUGAAGCAACAAAUGCCCUGCUUCCAGGAAAAGCCUCUAAGCAUCAGGUAACAUCAAAUCGUACCCCAAACCGACACAGGUGGUCAGGUAGAGAAUACCAAGGCGCUUGAGAGAACUCGGGUGAAGGAACUAGGCAAAAUGGUGCCGUAACUUCGGGAGAAGGCACGCUGAUAUGUAGGUGAAGUCCCUCGCGGAUGGAGCUGAAAUCAGUCGAAGAUACCAGCUGGCUGCAACUGUUUAUUAAAAACACAGCACUGUGCAAACACGAAAGUGGACGUAUACGGUGUGACGCCUGCCCGGUGC